This 56-nucleotide transfer RNA is filed under the name Agama lionotus. Its description in RNAcentral is "tRNA-Cys". The record is from RNAcentral. Lineage: Eukaryota; Metazoa; Chordata; Lepidosauria; Squamata; Agamidae.
GGCCUAAAUAAAUUCUGAAGUGCAAAUUUAGAUUUGAAGCAAUGUUUCUUAGGCUU